CAAACGGCUCUUUUAAGAGCCACACACUUUAUUUUAAGAGCUUGG
Molecule: non-coding RNA, 45 nt
Organism: Poecilia formosa (Amazon molly)
Lineage: Eukaryota; Metazoa; Chordata; Actinopteri; Cyprinodontiformes; Poeciliidae
Source: Rfam